UUUCCGUAGGUGAACCUGCGGAAGGAUCAUUACAGUAGUCGCCCGGGUUGCCGCAAGGCCUCCCGGGUAACCUACCACCCUUUGUUUAUUACACUUUGUUGCUUUGGCAGGCCUGCCCUCGGGCUGCUGGCUCCGGCCGGCGAGCGCUUGCCAGAGGACCUAAACUCUGUUUGUCUAUACUGUCUGAGUACUAUAUAAUAGUUAAAACUUUCAACAACGAAUCUCUUGGUUCUG
RNAcentral lists this unclassified non-coding RNA (234 nucleotides) under plant metagenome. Its description in RNAcentral is "partial contains small subunit ribosomal RNA, internal transcribed spacer 1, and 5.8S ribosomal RNA". The record is from RNAcentral.